RNAcentral lists this ribosomal RNA (468 nucleotides) under uncultured bacterium. Its description in RNAcentral is "partial 16S ribosomal RNA". It matches the Rfam family "Bacterial small subunit ribosomal RNA", at positions 29 to 507 of the family's 1533-position model. The record is from RNAcentral.
AACGAACGCUGGCGGCACGCCUAACACAUGCAAGUCGAACGGAACUUACAGAUCCAGGCGUUUCUUGGCGCGGUAGCCGACGGAAGAUUCACGCGGGUGUAGAAUGACCUGGAGUAGUUGGCAACAAUUCGAGACGACUGCUACGGACCCAUAAGCCCACGCCCCUGCAUCGGAUUGCGGUGGAAUGAUUUAUUCGCUUCAGGAUGGACUCGCGUCGAAUUAGCUAGUUGGUGAGGUAACGGCCCACCAAGGCGACGAUUGGUAGCCGGACUGAGAGGUUGAACGGCCACAUUGGGACUGAGACACGGCCCAGACUCCUACGGGAGGCAGCAGUGGGGGAUAUUGGACAAUGGGGGAAACCCUGAUGCAGCGACGCCGCGUGGAGGAAGAAGGUUUUCGGAUUGUAAACUCCUGUCGUUAGGGACGAUAAUGACGGUACCGAACAAGAAAGCACCGGCUAACUACGUG